This 409-nucleotide long non-coding RNA is filed under the name Pan troglodytes (chimpanzee). RNAcentral describes it as "long non-coding RNA NONPTRT003058". The record is from RNAcentral. Lineage: Eukaryota; Metazoa; Chordata; Mammalia; Primates; Hominidae.
GGCGGGGCUGUGUCUCCCAGGACUUGAGUGGCUGGGCAGAUCUCUGUGCACAUGUCUCUGCCAAAAAGGAUCUAAGACAAACUCCCCAUCCACCUCCUUCCUUGGCAGCCAAGAAAACAGAGGCCUGGAGAGAAUAAGAACCUUGCCAACUUCCCCAGCCAGUAAGGCGCAGGCGCAGAACCAGGCCUCCUCAUCCCAGGGGCACCGCAGGAUUGCAGAACCCUAGAAAGCUUGGGGCACAGGGUUGACUCAGCCUAGGCUGAAGCCCAGAAGUUUGCGAUCAUUCGUCUCAAAUAGGCUUCUCUGAUCCUGAGAGCAGCACUUUGACCUCACCCUCAACACUCCACCUCUCUGUCACCCAAGAGGACUAGCUUCUCCCAGCAAGCUCCGCUCCUCCCAUCGUUUCGUG